This 75-nucleotide antisense RNA is filed under the name Streptomyces sp. MBRL 601. Its description in RNAcentral is "ASpks sRNA". It matches the Rfam family "ASpks TB sRNA". Lineage: Bacteria; Bacillati; Actinomycetota; Actinomycetes; Kitasatosporales; Streptomycetaceae. The record is from RNAcentral.
CUUGACCGAGCCGAGCAGCAGCGGCCGGUCCUCGGGGCGGUCCUGGCCGUAGGUGGCGAGGACCGCCUGGGCCUC